RNAcentral lists this ribosomal RNA (465 nucleotides) under uncultured bacterium. RNAcentral describes it as "partial 16S ribosomal RNA". It matches the Rfam family "Bacterial small subunit ribosomal RNA", at positions 338 to 795 of the family's 1533-position model. The record is from RNAcentral.
CCUACGGGAGGCAGCAGUGGGGAAUAUUGCGCAAUGGGCGAAAGCCUGACGCAGCGACGCCGCGUGAGGGAUGAAGGUCUUCGGAUCGUAAACCUCUGUCAGCAGGGAAGAACGGUCACUGUGCUAAUCAGCAGUGAAUUGACGUUACCUGCACAGGAAGCACCGGCUAACUCCGUGCCAGCAGCCGCGGUAAUACGGAGGGUGCGAGCGUUAAUCGGAAUUACUGGGCGUAAAGCGCUCGUAGGCGGUAUGUCAAGUCAAGGGGGAAAUCCCCGCGCUCAACGUGGGAACUGCCUUUGAAACUGGCAAACUGGAGUGUGGGAGAGGAUAGUGGAAUUCCAGGUGUAGGAGUGAAAUCCGUAGAUAUCUGGAGGAACAUCAGUGGCGAAGGCGACUAUCUGGCACAUAACUGACGCUGAGGAGCGAAAGCGUGGGUAGCAAACAGGAUUAGAUACCCCAGUAGUC